UGGCCUAAUGCGUAAUUUGCACUGCUCUUGCCAGCAUAUCUGGUCAAUAACCUAACAUGAAACCACUCUUCAGAAGCGUCGCCAUCGCUGAUUUGACGCUGACUGCAUCGGAGAUUAUGUGUUCGAGCUGUGAGUACCACCUGCUGUGUAAGUCUUACAUAAGUUACGUUAGAUACAGUUGCAGUUACUGCAAACUUCUACUUAUGGGAGUAGAAUAUAAUAAGCUUUAUAUGAUAGGCUGAGAUGGAUAAGGGUAUACAUCAUUGCUGACAUCUUUCUAGAACCUCUAAGAUUGCAAUGUGUGAUUUCUUGUUGGAUCAGCUACGUCCAUAGAAUGAACUCGUUCCUUAAGAAAAUAAAGAAACUCAUCAGCAAUAACAGCUUCUU
Molecule: long non-coding RNA, 387 nt
Filed under: Physcomitrium patens
Lineage: Eukaryota; Viridiplantae; Streptophyta; Bryopsida; Funariales; Funariaceae
Description: long non-coding RNA (PPAT_LNC008629)
Source: RNAcentral